RNAcentral lists this ribosomal RNA (492 nucleotides) under uncultured bacterium. Its description in RNAcentral is "partial 16S ribosomal RNA". It matches the Rfam family "Bacterial small subunit ribosomal RNA", at positions 29 to 507 of the family's 1533-position model. The record is from RNAcentral.
AGUGAACGCUGGCGGUAGGCCUAACACAUGCAAGUCGAACGGCAGCACAGUAAGAGCUUGCUCUUACGGGUGGCGAGUGGCGGACGGGUGAGGAAUACAUCGGAAUCUACUUUUUCGUGGGGGAUAACGUAGGGAAACUUACGCUAAUACCGCAUACGACCUACGGGUGAAAGCAGGGGAUCUUCGGACCUUGCGCGAUUGAAUGAGCCGAUGUCGGAUUAGCUAGUUGGCGGGGUAAAGGCCCACCAAGGCGACGAUCCGUAGCUGGUCUGAGAGGAUGAUCAGCCACACUGGAAAUGAGACACGGUCCAGACUCCUACGGGAGGCAGCAGUGGGGAAUAUUGGACAAUGGGCGCAAGCCUGAUCCAGCCAUACCGCGUGGGUGAAGAAGGCCUUCGGGUUGUAAAGCCCUUUUGUUGGGAAAGAAAAGCAGCAGGGUAAUACCCCGCUGUUCUGACGGUACCCAAAGAAAAAGCACCGGCUAACUUCGUG